This is a long non-coding RNA of Lathyrus oleraceus (garden pea), 1065 nucleotides long. RefSeq lists it as uncharacterized. The record is from RefSeq and is a predicted model, not a curated record. The transcript is spliced from 4 exons. Lineage: Eukaryota; Viridiplantae; Streptophyta; Magnoliopsida; Fabales; Fabaceae.
UAUCGAUUAGGUUAGUAUGUUAAAAUUGAGACUUGUCAUUUAGUAGUUAGCUCAAUGUCGGACAAUCGAUUAGUUGUUAGAUAGUGAAGUAAGAUUAAUAAUGUUGAGUUAGUUGCUGGCACUUUACUUUCACUUUUACAACCUGCAAUCUCAAACCUUCUGAACAGAGGCACAAAAUAUAUAUGGUGGCAGACGAUUCGGUUAUCGAAAUUAGGCGCCUGAUUGCAUACUUUAAUGAAGCGCGUAUUUCAGGAAAUGAAUUGAUAAAUAAUUCUUAUAGUAGCAAGACAGUUAGUGAGCCAUACUGGACUGCUGCACUGCCAUACUAACGGAGUUUCCAUCAAGUGAUCCCAUUUAUCCAGUGCGACCAUAAACUUGACAUUUUAUCCUCCUCUAUCAAAGAUUAAAUGGAAGUACUGGUUAAAAGCGGGAUUGUCAGUGUUUUCAAUGCAAUUGAAACUGAUAACAUAAGGAUCCAAUAGAGAAGACAACACCAGCUGGACUAUGGUUCUUGGCAGUUUCUGAUGCUCGUUUGAUUAUGGAGAUGCCAAGCAUAAAUCGAAAUGAAUACCUGCAGAUCUUAAGGUUCACUUUGAUUUUGUUGUCAGGUGGUCUGAGGAUGAAUUGGAAAUAAAUACUGAGGUCUGAAUGGGAUGGAGAUGUCAACAAGUUUGAUGAUUCUGCCGCUAUAGGGACUUGCUCCGGGAUAGUUAUGCAGGAUGCAGCUUAAGGGGAUGAAGUAUGCUUGAAAUCGGUCAUGAUUCAAGAUUGACAUGAACUACCAUACAUGACUUGAAGAAUCUUGUAGAUAAAGGAAUGAACUUGCCUAUGCAAAUAUGGGAUGAAUGGUCCAGGUGGAUACCGACAUUAGGCUUAGGGGUUAGAAGAGUUGACUUUGGUCAACUAUUGACCAAAAAGUCAACAGUCGACUAAAAGUCAACCUUAUCAAAAAUCCUUAUUUCCUUUUGUAGUUUUUUAUAGACAUUUGUAAACAUGGUAUUUGUAAGUGAUAUGAACAAACUUGAAUGAAAAAUGAUUUAAUACUUUAAUUCUCAAUUUGAACUU